UACGAAGGGGGCUAGCGUUGUUCGGAAUCACUGGGCGUAAAGCGCACGUAGGCGGACCUAUAAGUCAGGGGUGAAAUCCCGGGGCUCAACCUCGGAACUGCCUUUGAUACUGUGGGUCUCGAGACCGGAAGAGGUGGGUGGAAUUCCUAGUGUAGAGGUGAAAUUCGUAGAUAUUAGGAAGAACACCAGUGGCGAAGGCGGCUUCCUGGACCAAUACUGACGCUGAGGCGCGAAGGCGUGGGGAGCAAACAGG
This 253-nucleotide ribosomal RNA is filed under the name uncultured bacterium. Its description in RNAcentral is "partial 16S ribosomal RNA". It matches the Rfam family "Bacterial small subunit ribosomal RNA", at positions 524 to 776 of the family's 1533-position model. The record is from RNAcentral.